AUUGAACGCUGGCGGCAGGCCUAACACAUGCAAGUCGAGCGGAUGAAGGGAGCUUGCUCCUGGAUUCAGCGGCGGACGGGUGAGUAAUGCCUAGGAAUCUGCCUGGUAGUGGGGGAUAACGUCCGGAAACGGGCGCUAAUACCGCAUACGUCCUGAGGGAGAAAGAGGGGGAUCUUCGGACCUCACGCUCUCAGAUGAGCCUAGGUCGGAUUAGCUAGUUGGUGGGGUAAAGGCCUACCAAGGCGACGAUCCGUAACUGGUCUGAGAGGAUGAUCAGUCACACUGGAACUGAGACACGGUCCAGACUCCUACGGGAGGCAGCAGUGGGGAAUAUUGGACAAUGGGCGAAAGCCUGAUCCAGCCAUGCCGCGUGUGUGAAGAAGGUCUUCGGAUUGUAAAGCACUUUAAGUUGGGAGGAAGGGCAGUAAGUUAAUACCUUGCUGUUUUGACGUUACCAACAGAAUAAGCACCGGCUAACUUCGUG
This 484-nucleotide ribosomal RNA is filed under the name uncultured bacterium. Its description in RNAcentral is "partial 16S ribosomal RNA". It matches the Rfam family "Bacterial small subunit ribosomal RNA", at positions 30 to 507 of the family's 1533-position model. The record is from RNAcentral.